CUUUUUUUUUUUUUUUCCCCCUUUCCUGCUCUGCUUUUCAUCCAUCUUCUGCUCUGCUCUUCUACUCACAUUAUGGUUUCCUUUUUUUCUAAAUUUCUUAAUUUAUUUACUAUUUACUGUGAGAGAAUGAUGAGAUGUUGUUCCUCUAAAUUUCUUUUAUUAGUUUUAUGGGUUAAAUUUCUUAUUAAUUUUUAGUUUUAUAUUUGAUUAAAUUGGGUUGUAUCUUGUAUGUUGCUAUCAUAAAUUAUUAGUUUGUGUCACAAUAAUUGGAUUAUGUUAUUGUUUCUGUAAAUUGGGUUUAUGUUAUUAUAAAUUAUUAAUUUCCUUGUCUCUAGUUUACUAGAAUUUACCAGUUUAUUAAAUUUUAACUUUUUGUAGUUUAUUAGUGUCUUUAACUU
RNAcentral lists this unclassified non-coding RNA (398 nucleotides) under Hevea brasiliensis (rubber tree). Lineage: Eukaryota; Viridiplantae; Streptophyta; Magnoliopsida; Malpighiales; Euphorbiaceae. The record is from RNAcentral.